RNAcentral lists this long non-coding RNA (611 nucleotides) under Gossypium raimondii (Peruvian cotton). Its description in RNAcentral is "long non-coding RNA (GRAI_LNC011091)". The record is from RNAcentral. Lineage: Eukaryota; Viridiplantae; Streptophyta; Magnoliopsida; Malvales; Malvaceae.
UUGUUAAAAUUUCCUUAUCUUGCUUACCUUCAGGCUCGUAUGGUUCGACAACCUUACCUUUCCCAGUCAUGCGAAAACGUCGCUUAUCAAGAAGGUAUUAAAGUUGAAAAUUAUCGUCACUCGCCCUUUCAGAGACCUGAUAAGAAGGAGGAGAACAAAAACUAACAUCACGGGGGUUAGUUAAAAUUUCGCUCUCUUUUUCUUAUUCUCUCUCACCAUCUUCAUUUUCUUUCGUUUCUUUUUCAACUUCUUUUUCUUUUUCAAUUUUUUUCUCAAUCUCAAUUUCUUUUUCAAUUUUCUUUUCUUCGUUUUCUUUUUCUCUCACUUUUUUGAGUUCUUUUUCUUUUGCAAUUUCUUUUUCUUUUUCGUUUUCUAUUUCUUUUUCACUUUCUAUUUCUUUUUCUUAUUUUUCAUUUUUAUUACAAUGUGAGGAUGAUACAAAAGAAUAAAAAAGAUAAGCAUUUGGCUCAAAGAAAGAGAAAAUAUUUUCGUAGGCUUCUCGUUUAUUUCAUUGGGAACAAUCCUUCGGGAAGGACUUCUUUGAAGCAUACGAGGAAUAACCCAUGCUUUCUUAUUCGUCAUAUCAAAAAGUCGCAAGCUCGAAGCUGUCG